RNAcentral lists this long non-coding RNA (552 nucleotides) under Nicotiana benthamiana. RNAcentral describes it as "long non-coding RNA (NBEN_LNC015768)". The record is from RNAcentral. Lineage: Eukaryota; Viridiplantae; Streptophyta; Magnoliopsida; Solanales; Solanaceae.
CCAUUUCAUAUAUCCAUUCCAAUCAUAAAAGAAUACCGGCAAGGGAUCAAUAAUAUUACAACAACAUCCCGGUAAGGGAACAAUAAUAUAAUAACAACAUCCCGGCAAUAGAACAAUAGUAUUACAACAACAUCCCGACAAGGGAACAAUAAUAUCACAACAACAUCCCUUUAAGGGAACAAUAAUGACCAUCCUCAUAUGAGGCAUGAAUAAACCAAAUGGAGUCACAACAAUUACAAUACAAGACUCACGGACAUGGUUGACACUGACGUAUAGAUACUCGUCACCAUGUCUAUACAUCGUAUUCCACAAUUAACACAUAGCAAAUAAGACACAACUCUUAAUCCUUCAAUCUAAGGUUAGACCAAGCAUUUACCUCAAACUUCAAUGGCCAACUCAAACCUCAUACACCACUUUUUCUUUAGAAUUCACCUCGAAAUUACUUGUAUCUAGUCCUAACUGAUUUAACAACAUCAAUAAAUUCUAAAGAAUUCAUACUCAAUGCUUUUUUUAAACCCCUCCCAAAUUAGGAGGAACUAUAGUGUUUCCAUA